CUAGCAGGGCUUAGUGCACUAUAUAGGGGAGACUGUCGCACGUCUGACACAGGGCUUAGUGCACCAUAUAGGGGAGAAUAGCAGGGCUUAGUGCACUACAUAGGGGAGACUGUCGCACGUCUGACACAGGGCUUAGUGCACUAUAUAGGGGAGACUAGCAGGGCUUAGUGCACUAUAUAGGGGAGACUAGCAGGGCUUAGUGCACUAUAUAGGGGAGACUGUAGCACGGCUUAGUGCACUAUAUAGGGGAGACUGUAGCAGGGCUUAGUGUACUAUAUAGGGGAGACUGUAGCAGGGCUUAGUGUACUAUAUAGGGGAGACUGUAGCAGGGCUUAGUGCACUAUAUAGGGGAGACUGUAGCACGGCUUAGUGUACUAUAUAGGGGAGACUAGCAGGGCUUAGUGCACUAUAUAGGGGAGACUGUAGCAGGGCUUAGUGCACUAUAUAGGGGAGACUGUAGCUGGGUUUAGUGCACUAUAUAGGGGAGACUGUAGCAGGGUUUAGUGCACUAUAUAGGGGAGACUGUAGCAGGGUUUAGUGCACUAUAUAGGGGAGCCUGUAGCAGGGUUUAGUGCACUAUAUAGGGGAGACUGUAGCAGGGCUUAGUGCACUAUAUAGGGGAGACUGUAGCAGGGCUUAGUGCACUAUAUAGGGGAGACUGUAGCAGGGCUUAGUGCACUAUAUAGGGGAGACUGUAGCAGGGCUUAGUGCACUAUAUAGGGGAGAUUGUAGCAGGGCUUAGUGCACUAUAUAGGGGAGACUGUAGCAGGGUUUAGUGCACUAUAUAGGGGAGACUGUAGCAGGGCUUAGUGUACUAUAUAGGGGAGACUGUAGCACGUCUGACACAGGGCUUAGUGCACUAUAUAGGGGAGACUGUAGCAGGGUUUAGUGCACUAUAUAGGGGAGACUGUAGCAUGGCUUAGUGCACUAUAUAGGGGAGACUGUAGCAGGGUUUAGUGCACUAUAUAGGGGAGACUGUAGCAGGGCUUAGUGUACUAUAUAGGGGAGACUGUAGCACGUCUGACACAGGGCUUAGUGCACUAUAUAGGGGAGACUGUAGCAGGGUUUAGUGCACUAUAUAGGGGAGACUGUAGCAUGUCUGACACAGGGCUCAGUGCGCUAUAUAGGGGAGACUAGCAGGGUUUAGUGCACUAUAUAGGGGAGACUGUAGCACAUCUGACACAGGGCUUAGUGCACUAUAUAGGGGAGACUGUAGCAGGGCUUAGUGCACUAUAUAGGGGAGACUAGCAGGGUUUAGUGCACUAUAUAGGGGAGACUGUAGCAGGGCUUAGUGCACUAUAUAGGGGAGACUAGCAGGGUUUAGUGCACUAUAUAGGGGAGAAUGUAGCACAUCUGACACAGGGCUUAGUGCACUAUAUAGGGGAGACUAGCAGGGUUUAGUGCACUAUAUAGGGGAGAAUGUAGCACAUCUGACACAGGGCUUAGUGCACUAUAUAGGGGAGACUGUAGCAGGGCUUAGUGCACUAGAUAGGGGAGACUGUAGCAGGGCUUAGUGCACUAGAUAGGGGAGACUGUAGCAGGACUUAGUGCACUAUAUAGGGGAGACUGUAGCAGGGUUUAGUGUACUAUAUAGGGGAGACUGUAGCAGGGCUUAGUGUACUAUAUAGGGGAGACUGUAGCAGGGCUUAGUGUACUAUAUAGGGGAGACUGUAGCAGGGCUUAGUGAACUAUAUAGGGGAGACUGUAGCACAUCUGACACAGGGC
Long non-coding RNA from Oncorhynchus keta (chum salmon), 1725 nucleotides. RefSeq lists it as uncharacterized. The record is from RefSeq and is a predicted model, not a curated record. The transcript is spliced from 4 exons. Lineage: Eukaryota; Metazoa; Chordata; Actinopteri; Salmoniformes; Salmonidae.